This is a long non-coding RNA of Mya arenaria, 374 nucleotides long. RefSeq lists it as uncharacterized. The record is from RefSeq and is a predicted model, not a curated record. NCBI's taxonomy places the organism in Eukaryota, Metazoa, Mollusca, Bivalvia, Myida, Myidae. The transcript is spliced from 3 exons.
GAAGGGGCUACAAAGAGAAAUAGCAUUUACUGAAAUGGGAGCGGGUGACAUAAAGUUAUGUCCUGUCUGAGAUUUGGUCUGUGGAAGACCAAAUGGAGGCAGCACACAUCCUUUGUGGAUUGAUGACCUUGGCAAACUGAUUAAAUUCUUUGACUGGUUGGGGUACACCAAGAUACCCCUGAAGUCCAUUCCAAACUUGAGGAAAUAUCACCACUUCAGAACUUCAGCUGACAACCCAGUGAGUGAAUUCAUGAGAGAGCAUGCCAAGGACAGUGAGAUUGAUGUUAAAAUUGACAACCCCACAACAAUGGCUUUUCCAUGGAGAGUACCCCGAACGCAUCCAACUAAAAGGACUUGAUGCAAAAAGGCUCUGA